This is a long non-coding RNA of Cylas formicarius (sweet potato weevil), 946 nucleotides long. RefSeq lists it as uncharacterized. The record is from RefSeq and is a predicted model, not a curated record. The transcript has 4 exons. Lineage: Eukaryota; Metazoa; Arthropoda; Insecta; Coleoptera; Brentidae.
CAGGUAGAAGUCUCAAGGUCAACACGCUUUCACACGGGAACGCAACCGUUUCGGACGUUGGACGAACGUAUGUUGCCGCAAAAGAUCAAGGCCAACUUGCUUUCAUUUUUUACAAUCUCCGUAUGGGAUGUGGAAUUUCAAAACGCGCCGAGUCUAAAUGUCAAGUUGUUUUGCUUGUUGAGAAUAAUAAUUAAUUGCCCCCUUUAUAUUUGCUCCGUGGGAUUAACGUAAUGGGAAAAAUUUGUUGCAACGCAUGUGGAGGUGUCUUCGUUUGUUAACUUUUAGAAAGUAUUCUCGCACCGUAUAAAUACAUCUCAUUUUUCUCUGUUUUGUCAGUAGUUGUUUUUGGUAUUAUUCGUGCAACGUGGAAGCUAACUUAGUGGUUUGGUGUUCGUACAAAAAAGCAGUCCUAAAGAUCAUCUUAGUACUCUCAACCCGUAACCGCAAAUAGAAUAGCAGCAAUCUUAAGCAUGGACUUAAGUCAACUGAAUCAAACCUGUCUUGCAGAAGGUGAUUUUGAGCAGCCGAUUGUCAAACUGCAUGAAUUGCCGAUAGGCGUUCCGUUUAAAAUUACUAGAGCCAAAAUUGUUAAUACAAAAUUUGGCAAUUCCGUGUUGCUGCAAUUAGAAAAUUCCGUAGUAUUUCUUCCUACUCGCGUGACAGAAGCUUUCCGUCCGAGACUAGAACACUUUGCGUCGGGGCAGUACAAACUGGUCUACGAGGGAUCCAAAGAUAUUGGAAAGCCCAACUCUUUAAAGAAAUUCAAAAUAAUUCAAAAUUAAUCAACAUAUUAUACAGGAUUAUGGUCAAACAACUUACAUUAGAAAGCCUUUGUAUUAUAACAAUUUGCGAAAAUAUUAGGUGUAGUGCUGAUUUUUUGCGUGAGUCACCUUUGCCUUGGAAACUAACGAUACUAAUAUUUAAAUAUUAUUCGAAAUAUAGAUGG